RNAcentral lists this ribosomal RNA (494 nucleotides) under uncultured bacterium. RNAcentral describes it as "partial 16S ribosomal RNA". It matches the Rfam family "Bacterial small subunit ribosomal RNA", at positions 28 to 507 of the family's 1533-position model. The record is from RNAcentral.
GACGAACGCUGGCGGCGUGCUUAACACAUGCAAGUCGAACGGUGAAGCGCCUUCCUUUUUGGUGGGUGUGGAUGAGUGGCGAACGGGUGGGUAACACGUGAGUAACCUGCCCCCUUCUUCUGGAUAACCGCAUGAAAGUGUGGCUAAUACGGGAUAUUCUGGGUCUGUCGCAUGAUGGGUCUGGGAAAGAUAUUGUUUCGGUGGGGGAUGGGCUCGCGGCCUAUCAGCUUGUUGGUGGGGUGAUGGCCUACCAAGGCGGUGACGGGUAGCCGGCCUGAGAGGGUUGACGGUCACACUGGGGCUGAGACACGGCCCAGACUCCUACGGGAGGCAGCAGUGGGGAAUAUUGCACAAUGGGCGCAAGCCUGAUGCAGCGACGCCGCGUGAGGGAUGGAGGCCUUCGGGUUGUGAACCUCUUUCGCCAGUGAAGCAGGCCUGCCUCGUUUGUGGGUGGGUUGACGGUAGCUGGAUAAGAAGCGCCGGCUAACUACGUG